UACCAGCACCCCGAGUGGUCGGGACGUUUAUUGGGCCUAAAGCAUCCGUAGCCGGUUCUACAAGUCUUCCGUUAAAUCCACCUGCUUAACAGAUGGGCUGCGGAAGAUACUAUAGAGCUAGGAGGCGGGAGAGGCAAGCGGUACUCGAUGGGUAGGGGUAAAAUCCGUUGAUCCAUUGAAGACCACCAGUGGCGAAGGCGGCUUGCCAGAACGCACUCGACGGUGAGGGAUGUAAGCUGGGGGAGCAAACCGG
This 253-nucleotide ribosomal RNA is filed under the name uncultured bacterium. Its description in RNAcentral is "partial 16S ribosomal RNA". It matches the Rfam family "Archaeal small subunit ribosomal RNA", at positions 474 to 727 of the family's 1478-position model. The record is from RNAcentral.